RNAcentral lists this unclassified non-coding RNA (240 nucleotides) under soil metagenome. RNAcentral describes it as "partial contains 5.8S ribosomal RNA, internal transcribed spacer 2, and large subunit ribosomal RNA". The record is from RNAcentral.
AACGCACGAGACCUGCGGACCUGCGGAGGGAUCAUUAAUGAGAUGCUGCCCCUCGUGGGUAGACCUCCCACCCUCUGUGAACUUACCUUUGUUGCUUUGGCAGGCCCGUCCUCUGGACCGCCGGCUUCGGCUGGCCCGUGCCUGCCAGAGGAUUCCAAACCCUGUCUGUCAGUGUUGUCUGAGUCUAUAUGAAAUCGUUAAAACUUUCAACAAUGGAUCUCUAGAUCGGAAGAGCACACG